Molecule: ribosomal RNA, 301 nt
Filed under: uncultured bacterium
Lineage: Bacteria
Description: partial 16S ribosomal RNA
Rfam family: Bacterial small subunit ribosomal RNA
Source: RNAcentral
CAGUCGCCGCGGUAAUACGUAGGUGGCAAGCGUUGUCCGGAAUUAUUGGGCGUAAAGGGCUCGCAGGCGGUUUCUUAAGUCUGAUGUGAGAGCCCCCGGCUCAACCGGGGAGGGUCAUUGGAAACUGGGAAACUUGAGUGCAGAAGAGGAGAGUGGAAUUCCACGUGUAGCGGUGAAGUGCGUAGAGAUGUGGAGGAACACCAGUGGCGAAGGCGACUCUCUGGUCUGUAACUGACGCUGAGGAGCGAAAGCGUGGGGAGCGAACAGGAUUAGAUACCCGCGUAGUCCCUGUCUCUUAUAC